This 465-nucleotide ribosomal RNA is filed under the name uncultured bacterium. RNAcentral describes it as "partial 16S ribosomal RNA". It matches the Rfam family "Bacterial small subunit ribosomal RNA", at positions 28 to 507 of the family's 1533-position model. The record is from RNAcentral.
GACGAACGCUGGCGGCGUGCUUAACACAUGCAAGUCGAACGGAAAGGCCCUGCUUGCAGGGUACUCGAGUGGCGAACGGGUGAGUAACACGUGGGUGAUCUGCCCUGCACUUCGGGAUAAGCCUGGGAAACUGGGUCUAAUACCGGAUAGGAGCCAUUUUGAGUGUGAUGGUUGGAAAGUUUUUUCGGUGUAGGAUGAGCUCGCGGCCUAUCAGCUUGUUGGUGGGGUAAUGGCCUACCAAGGCGGCGACGGGUAGCCGGCCUGAGAGGGUGGACGGCCACAUUGGGACUGAGAUACGGCCCAGACUCCUACGGGAGGCAGCAGUGGGGAAUAUUGCACAAUGGGCGCAAGCCUGAUGCAGCGACGCCGCGUGGGGGAUGACGGCCUUCGGGUUGUAAACUCCUUUCGCUAGGGACGAAGCUUUUUGUGACGGUACCUAGAUAAGAAGCACCGGCUAACUACGUG